AUAGGCGUAGUUUAAUUAAAACAAUAAAUUGUGGUUUUGUAACUAAGAGUUAAAUUCUCUUCACCUAUC
This 69-nucleotide transfer RNA is filed under the name Chimaera phantasma (silver chimaera). Its description in RNAcentral is "tRNA-His". It matches the Rfam family "tRNA". From Rfam's summary of the family: Transfer RNA (tRNA) molecules are approximately 80 nucleotides in length. Their secondary structure includes four short double-helical elements and three loops (D, anti-codon, and T loops). Further hydrogen bonds mediate the characteristic L-shaped molecular structure. tRNAs have two regions of fundamental functional importance: the anti-codon, which is responsible for specific mRNA codon recognition, and the 3' end, to which the tRNAs corresponding amino acid is attached (by aminoacyl-tRNA synthetases). tRNAs cope with the degeneracy of the genetic code in two manners: having more than one tRNA (with a specific anti-codon) for a particular amino acid; and 'wobble' base-pairing, i.e. permitting non-standard base-pairing at the 3rd anti-codon position. The record is from RNAcentral. Lineage: Eukaryota; Metazoa; Chordata; Chondrichthyes; Chimaeriformes; Chimaeridae.